GAUGAACGCUAGCUACAGGCUUAACACAUGCAAGUCGAGGGGAAACGACAUUGAAGCUUGCUUCGAUGGUCGUCGACCGGCGCACGGGUGAGUAACGCGUAUCCAACCUGCCUCUGACCAAGGGAUAACCCGUCGAAAGUCGGCCUAAUACCUUAUGCAGUCGUCGGAAGUCAUCUGAUGACGACGAAAGAUUUCAUCGGUGAGAGAUGGGGAUGCGUCUGAUUAGCUUGUUGGCGGGGUAACGGCCCACCAAGGCAACGAUCAGUAGGGGUUCUGAGAGGAAGGUCCCCCACAUUGGAACUGAGACACGGUCCAAACUCCUACGGGAGGCAGCAGUGAGGAAUAUUGGUCAAUGGGCGAGAGCCUGAACCAGCCAAGUAGCGUGCAGGAGGACGGCCCUAGGGGUUGUAAACUGCUUUUAUGCGGGGAUAAAGUGAGGGACGUGUCCUUCAUUGCAGGUACCGCAUGAAUAAGGACCGGCUAAUUCCGUG
RNAcentral lists this ribosomal RNA (491 nucleotides) under uncultured bacterium. RNAcentral's name for it is "partial 16S ribosomal RNA". It matches the Rfam family "Bacterial small subunit ribosomal RNA", at positions 28 to 507 of the family's 1533-position model. The record is from RNAcentral.